Molecule: unclassified non-coding RNA, 159 nt
Filed under: Curvularia hawaiiensis
Lineage: Eukaryota; Fungi; Ascomycota; Dothideomycetes; Pleosporales; Pleosporaceae
Also listed under: 1 other name
Description: sequence contains ITS2
Source: RNAcentral
GUACCCUCAAGCUUUGCUUGGUGUUGGGCGUUUUUGUCCCCCUAACAAGGGACUCGCCUUAAAAGGAUUGGCAGCCGGCCUACUGGUUUCGCAGCGCAGCACAUUUUUGCGCUUGCAAUCAGCAAAAGAGGACGGCAAUCCAUCAAGACUCCUUCUCAC